CUGCCCGUAGGGUGACAAUGUGGAUGGCACUCUGUGCUGCCACCAUGUGCUGUGGGGACUGCAGGCCCAGAGCCCUGCUCUGCUGCGGCCCCCUCCAGCUCAGGCGCUGUUCCAGGACAGAUCCCAAGUGGACACAAACCUGCCUGCAUCCCAUAUCUGUCCCCAAAUCCAGUCCAACAACCCUGCCUGAAUGACGGCCCCUACGGGAGACGAUGUCACCCAGGGACAGGCCCAGUGGACAGCCAUGGGUAGACUCCUGCUCUUAUGAUGGCUGCACCAAGAACGAAGGUGCUCCUCGCAGAAGGCAGACACCAGUGAGAUGGACCUGCUGAGUCUGGCUUGAGCAGCUUUCCAGCUGAGCAUCUAAAAUGCCACUUUGCUUCACCUGCUUUUAGCUUUUCCUCUGAGACUUUUCACACUAUCUAGUCAUAGUUCAUCACUGAACUACUCUGGGUACUUAUCCUUGGAUAUCUGAAUAAUAGCAAUGCUCCAUCAGAUGUCUUUUUAAGCCACAUGCUAGUAUAACCUCUCUUUUGCAAACCAAGUCAACUAUUUGUUAUCAUGUCUGAGAAGCAAAAUAGGCUUUUGGAAACAAUGAAGCAAAUAAUUAAGGAUUAAUAAACUAAGGAUAUGUGUGCUAAUAUAAAAUACUUAUUUACAGUUUCUCAUGACCUUAUAUUAAUUGAAUGAAUUUCAUUCACAGUCUCAUAUACCAUGAUGAUUUUUGAUACUGCUACUUUAAUUAGGUUGGAACAAAAUUAAAAUAUAGUGUCAGUUUGGAAAAAGUAGGAAAUACUAAAGUGGACAUUUCAAAAGGAACAAAAAUACUGCAGGUGCUACAACCCUAAAAUUUUCAUCCAUCUAGGAGUAUUUUUUUGUGUAAACUCUCUUUGAAGCAAAGAAAUUGUACUAUUUUGCCUCUGAAAUAGAGCAAUGUCUCUCAUUGACUCUUAACUCCACAAAUAAAAUAAAAGUACAAAUAAUGCACUUGUUUAAAAAACCAGACUGUUGUAAAUAUUCAGUAGAAUAUUUAAACAGUGUUCAUGUUUAAUCCUUAAAGAGAAGGCUGAACCAAUAUAAUGUGGUAAUGAACUGAUAAACAACUCACACACUUUAAAAAAAAUUCCAUGUGGUCAGCUCUGAAACUUAUGUGUCAGAGGGACACAUUUCCAAUUAACAAAAUUGAUAAAAAGAGCCCAAAAUUUUCAAAGCUUUAUCACAGAUAGUGUAAGAACAUUUAAGAACUAAAAAUGUUACCUUGAUAAAUUACCCAAAGAAGAGACUAGUCAGUUAAAUUAUCAGUCAUAAAGAUAAAUAUUAGCAGAAGGAGGUUCUUAGAAUAUCUGCCUCAUGUAUUUGUGAUUUUUAUUUUUAAAGUUUGCAUGUAUGUAUAAAAAUAUUAUUACUUUUGGAAAGCAUUUUAUUUUUUUUAAUCGAAUGUUUUUGUACUUAUGGUUUAUGAAAUCUCCAUAAAAGUAUAGAAUCAGUAAAUGAAUUUGUUUGAAAUUUGUCAUUUUGGAAAAUUUAGAAGAAAGCUCUAAGGUUAUCAAAUAUGACAAAUUUUGUUCUUAUUCUAAGAAAUAACACUAUGAAUCCAAAGACUCUUUUGGAAAACAGGUUAUGCUAGAUAUAUUUUACUCAUAUUUUAUAUCAGAAGGAAAAACAUAUUUCCAAAACACUUGAUUAACUUUUCAUAAGAUCUAAACCCAAAUCAUAGCACCCUUGAGAUAGAGAAAAAAAAAAAAAAAAAAGGUAAUCCUUUCCAGGAAAACAUUUACUGAAUAUGUACCACUGCUCAGGGUUUUCUUCUGUGUAAAUUUAAAUGGGUACAACCCAGAACUUAAUUCAAGUUUGUUUAUUUUUUUUAAAGGAGUUGAACAUUGAAGGGUGAGUAAUGUUUCUGACCUAGAAAGGGAAAGUCAACUGCAGUUCACUAUGAAUAAAGAACACUCUGUGAAAAGUAUUCAAAUGCAAACUAUCUGAAUAUAACCUAGGCAAAAUUAUCCUCAGCUAUAGUUGUGGGUUUUUUUUGGUGAGCUGUUUUUGUGGUUUUAUUUGUUGGCUGGUUUUGGUAGCCCACUCUCUGGUUGAUGUCCUUACUAUCUGUAGUUACUGUGAGAGACAGAGCGUGGCGUAGCUCAAGCAGAAGGCAAAAUAUCUUCUCCAAAGAGUAGAUUUGCUUUUUGUUCAUUACAGCUCCAGGAUUCCUAUGACCUUCAAGAUCAUAAAGUAGUUGAAAUAAGAAAAUUGUCAAUAGCUAUGUAAUCCAUACCAGAGAAAGCAGAACUACAGACAUUUCAUGGCAAUCAGUUGCUGUAUAUUAUCAAAGGCAGGUGUUUCAUUUUCUCUGCUCUGCUGCAACUUUUGAUUGCUCUAUCAGGUAUUUAUUUUUCUUUUUUUUUUCCCCUGCUUUGUUCCUUUGAGGGGUUCUAGCAAGAAGGGUGGGACUCAGAAUAGGAGAACAGAUGCUUUCAACCUUCUCUGCUCUGAGGAGCUUCAGAGCCUUGGGUGGACUGGUUGUUCAAGCAGAAUGAAUAGAACUUGAUUUAAUAUUCUGUAUUCUAUGUGGACGUUGGAAAAAAUUUUGACUCCUUCUCCCUAUACAUCUUUCAAGUCACUUGAUUCACGCUUUAAUAUUUUUUCUUCUAAAAAGUCCUAAAAUUUCCUAUGUAGGAAUUUGAGUUGAUAGCAAGAAAUGAGAUCCUGUAAGUCAGUGUAGGUGGCUCAGUAAAUCAGUUUAGCAGAGUGACCAACAGAGCUAAAUUCCACUCAUAAUGAUAUGAUUUUUAAUGUGACUCCUGUGGACAAGGGAUCCAUCUUUAGACAGGUAUAUAUGGAAAUACCUCCCUUCUCUUCCCCCCACAAAAACCCCAAACCAACAAACAUCUCCACACUACCACACCAUUACCUAGUGUUGACUGAAAAAACAGCUUUAUAAACCAAUAUAUGAAUUAAUUGCUAGCAGAAAUUCUGAACAAUAAAAAUAAAAACAUGUAAAGGGAUUUUUAAAGUAAUUAUCUUGAAAAAUAUUAAUUUGACAGAAUUAAUAAAAUUCUUACUUGUGAUAUUAGACCAUAAACAAGAAAGUAAUAUAUUUAUGGCAAGGAUCAAGAUGACAUAUUUCAUCUAAGAAAUUGGUGAAAUACAUACAAUUCAGAACAGUAAAAUUCUUAGUUCUAUGGAGUGUGUCUGACAGCAAGAUUUUAAAAAGAUCUAAAUGUUUGACCUUUUUUUAAUAAGUAGACUAUUUCAAAUGAGCACAUCUGGUUUAUGUUCCUAAACCUCUAGCCUUUAAAAGUUCUGUUCCCAAUUCACACAAAAUACCAUUCAGCAUUGCUUGACAUGGUGACCUUCCCUGUAGGUGGCUGGCUGAAUAAACCGAUUAAAUAGAUUCAGGAAUUUAGCAUAUAUACAGCAAGUUAACACUUGUAUCCUGGAACCAUUAGUAAACAUACUUACUGCUUCUCCAUGCUUUCUGUUAGAGAUAUGGAAUUGAACUGGGAAUUUUAAAAAUCUACUCUAUAUAAAUAAAGAAAGCAUUUCCUAAUUUUCAUGUCAAAGAAGUUUUCAUUAUGCUGUCACAUUUUCUUAGCUAUAAAGCAACACAAAUCAGGAAAAGUCAAGUAAUUACAACAUUAAAUGUUAUUAUGAUUUCAUGCAGAUUGAGACAGUGAAGGGUGGACAGAAUAGGUACAAAAAUACAAGUGGUCAGUAAAUCUUUAACAAACACUUUUGUUAGUUAAAAAUUAAAUAGCGUAUGGACUGGGAAGGUUUUAUUUUUUCCCCAUAACUUUAAUAGCAGGUUCAUUGUUAUUUGUGUAGAGUGUAAUUCUUUUUGACUUUGCCUUCCAUUUGCCUUGAGGACAAGCCAGUUUAAAACUGUUCAGCACACUGCACCAUGCAUAACAGGUAAUCUGUCUAAUUAAGGCCUGCAAGGAUGUUCAAAGUAAAAUAUUGAAGAGCUUCCAUAACCUCACUUUCACCCUCCCUGUGUACCACAGCUUCUGAGACUCAGAGAUACCCUAGCCAUUAACUCAAGUGUUUACACUCUAAACUCAAAUUCUUCUUUGCCAGAAUGGUUCAUUUCACAUUUUACAAGCCUGUUUUCUCAUUUACAGGCAGAAAGCAAUUUAUCAAAUUUUUAUAUUACAUUUCUCAGCUUGUUUCAAUAUUGGAUGAUAUAAUAUAUGCCUGGAAAUUCAAAAUGCAAAGGCAUACUGUGACUUUAUCCAGGGACCUAAUAAGAUUUAUAUCCACCCUUUUUUUGUGUGUGUGUUCAUUUGAUGCAUUUCAAUGAAUUAUUAAUUAUGACCAACAAUAAAAUAUUAUCUUGGUCUGAUGCACAGCAAAAGGAAAGAUACCCAAGAGAAAACCAUCUGACAGCUCAAAGUAGACACGGCCAAAGGAUGCUCACAAGUUUCUCAUCAAGAACUGCAUGACAUGCAUCUGCCCAUCAAAUGAACCAGACUGACUGAGCCUUUCUCAACAUACAGAUGUAAUCUUUGGGGAGCUUAAGGGAUUAUUGCUAAAUUAAUACUCUCCAGUGAUAACUGGAGACACUUACAGAUUUUGGGAGUUGUUAUGGGCUUCCUGUGUGGCAGGA
This is a long non-coding RNA of Passer domesticus (house sparrow), 4603 nucleotides long. RefSeq lists it as uncharacterized. The record is from RefSeq and is a predicted model, not a curated record. The transcript has 4 exons. NCBI's taxonomy places the organism in Eukaryota, Metazoa, Chordata, Aves, Passeriformes, Passeridae.